UCCCUGUAGCUCUUAAGUUAAAGAAUCUGCCUGCAAUGCAGGAGACCCAGGUUUGAUCCCUGGGUUGGGAA
Molecule: non-coding RNA, 71 nt
Organism: Ovis aries (sheep)
Lineage: Eukaryota; Metazoa; Chordata; Mammalia; Artiodactyla; Bovidae
Source: Rfam